This 495-nucleotide ribosomal RNA is filed under the name uncultured bacterium. RNAcentral's name for it is "partial 16S ribosomal RNA". It matches the Rfam family "Bacterial small subunit ribosomal RNA", at positions 29 to 506 of the family's 1533-position model. The record is from RNAcentral.
AUGAACGCUGGCGGCGUGCCUCAUCCAUGCAAGUCGCGCGAACAGACGAGGAGCUUGCUCCUCUGACGUUAGCGGCGGACGGGUGAGUAACACGUGGAUAACCUACCUAUAAGACUGGGAUAACUUCGGGAAACCGGAGCUAAUACCGGAUAAUAUAUUGAACCGCAUGGUUCAAUAGUGAAAGACGGUUUUGCUGUCACUUAUAGAUGGAUCCGCGCCGCAUUAGCUAGUUGGUAAGGUAACGGCUUACCAAGGCAACGAUGCGUAGCCGACCUGAGAGGGUGAUCGGCCACACUGGAACUGAGACACGGUCCAGACUCCUACGGGAGGCAGCAGUAGGGAAUCUUCCGCAAUGGGCGAAAGCCUGACGGAGCAACGCCGCGUGAGUGAUGAAGGUCUUCGGAUCGUAAAACUCUGUUAUUAGGGAAGAACAAAUGUGUAAGUAACUAUGCACGUCUUGACGGUACCUAAUCAGAAAGCCACGGCUAACUACGU